Molecule: ribosomal RNA, 862 nt
Filed under: Pseudophialocephala terricola
Lineage: Eukaryota; Fungi; Ascomycota; Sordariomycetes; Chaetosphaeriales; Chaetosphaeriaceae
Description: eukaryotic LSU rRNA
Rfam family: Eukaryotic large subunit ribosomal RNA
Source: RNAcentral
CACGGGAAGACAACAGGUAUGCCUCAGUAACGGCGAGUGAAGCGGCAACAGCUCAAAUUUGAAAUCUGGCCCCCCGGCCCGAGUUGUAAUUUGCAGAGGAUGCUUCGGGCGCGGUGCCUUCCAAGUCCCCUGGAACGGGGCGCCGGAGAGGGUGAGAGCCCCGUACGGUUGGCGGCCAAGCCUGUGUGAAGCUCCUUCGACGAGUCGAGUAGUUUGGGAAUGCUGCUCUAAGCGGGAGGUAGACCCCUUCUAAAGCUAAAUAUAGGCCAGAGACCGAUAGCGCACAAGUAGAGUGAUCGAAAGAUGAAAAGCACUUUGAAAAGAGGGUUAAACAGCACGUGAAAUUGUUGAAAGGGAAGCGCUUGCGACCAGACGUGCGCCGGGGUGCUCAGCGGGCGUUCUCGCCCGUGCACUCGCCCCGGUGCAGGCCAGCGUCGGUUCGCGUGGGAGGAUAAAGGCGCCUGGAAUGUGGCUCCCCCGGGAGUGUUAUAGCCAGGCGUGCCAUGCUCCCCUGCGGACCGAGGUACGCGUUCUGCAAGGACGCUGGCGUAAUGGUCCCCAGCGACCCGUCUUGAAACACGGACCAAGGAGUCGAGGUUUUGCGCGAGUGUUUGGGUGUUAAACCCGCACGCGUAAUGAAAGUGAACGUAGGUGGGAGCUUCGGCGCACCACCGACCGAUCCUGAUGUUCUCGGAUGGAUUUGAGUAAGAGCGUAGGGCCUCGGACCCGAAAGAUGGUGAACUAUGCUUGGAUAGGGUGAAGCCAGAGGAAACUCUGGUGGAGGCUCGCAGCGGUUCUGACGUGCAAAUCGAUCGUCAAAUCUGAGCAUGGGGGCGAAAGACUAAUCGACCUCCAGGGGGGG